UGGGGAAUAUUGGACAAUGGGCGCAAGCCUGAUCCAGCAAUGCCGCGUGAGUGAUGAAGGCCUUCGGGUUGUAAAGCUCUUUCGCACGCGACGAUGAUGACGGUAGCGUGAGAAGAAGCCCCGGCUAACUUCGUGCCAGCAGCCGCGGUAAUACGAAGGGGGCUAGCGUUGUUCGGAAUUACUGGGCGUAAAGGGCGCGUAGGCGGUGUGUCAAGUCAGGCGUGAAAGCCCCGGGCUCAACCUGGGAACCGCGCUUGAGACUGGCACGCUAGAGUUCGGGAGAGGAUGGUGGAAUUCCCAGUGUAGAGGUGAAAUUCGUAGAUAUUGGGAAGAACACCGAUGGCGAAGGCAGCCAUCUGGACCGACACUGACGCUGAGGCGCGAAAGCGUGGGGAGCAAACA
Molecule: ribosomal RNA, 402 nt
Filed under: uncultured Skermanella sp.
Lineage: Bacteria; Pseudomonadati; Pseudomonadota; Alphaproteobacteria; Rhodospirillales; Azospirillaceae
Description: bacterial SSU rRNA
Rfam family: Bacterial small subunit ribosomal RNA
Source: RNAcentral